Molecule: long non-coding RNA, 2955 nt
Organism: Alligator sinensis (Chinese alligator)
Lineage: Eukaryota; Metazoa; Chordata; Crocodylia; Alligatoridae
Exons: 6
Source: RefSeq, a predicted model, not a curated record
GCUAUGGGCUGGGAAGACGCGUGAGCUGGCAGGGCCAGGCGCGAGGAAGGGGGCGGGGUGAGCUGGAACGUUAAACUGCCGCGUCACUCUGGCUCCGCCCCGCCCGGGAAAGCGCGUUUAUCACGCGUGGGGCAACUGGGAACUCAAAUGUUCGAUCGAACCGGCUUGACGUCACCGGUGGUGGCAGGGCUCGAACUCGCGGUCCCAGGAGCCUAGCUGGUCUGGAGCGCGCUGUUUCAGUUUUAGGGCAGCCAAGACUAUUCAGACUCUAGCAGAAAAGAAGCCAGCCGCCCCAUAGGCUUGCGUGGCAUCUCUGAGGCUGAGCACCAGGCUGGCAGGCCAAGGAGAAACCUGCCAUCCUAGAGGGUCUCUGCUAUGUGGCCAGGAGGUACUUGAACAGUAUGUGGCUGGAGAUGAGGGCAGCAGCCAUCAAGUUCACAGGUGAAGAACUUUGGCUUUCUACAUCACAUCAAGUCAUCUGGGUUUUACCAUAGGACUGCUUCCUCCAUCAAGGCUGUUGCUAGCAAACAGAAUCUGAAAUUAUAAUACAAAUACAAAUCAGCAACCAUGAAAAUGCUAAGUAGUACAUGUACAUGGAAGUAGUAUGUCCAUGCCUGUUAAAAACUGCCUCGACAGACAAGAUUUGGGAACUGCUCAAAGAGCUGGUGUUAUAGGAACAGUACAAUAGAAGGACUCUUCUCUAAAAGAUAAAGAAAAAAAGGAAGACAGAGGGCAGCAGUCAGCAAAAAAUGAAGAGCAAGGCAGAAGGAAAGACAGAAAGGGUACGGCUGACAGCAACUUGAAAGAAAAACCUGAACAUUGCUCAUUUUACGAAAUCAAACUGAAGUAUGACAGGUGGGAGCAGUAUAUUUAAGACGAUGACAGAAAAGGACGAGAAAGUUAACACAACUAUUUCCCAAACCUCCAAGAAAAUAUUAGUGCAGUUUAGAAUAAUGAUCCUGAAACUUGAUAGAUAUUACAUGAUCACUGGGAAAUAAAAUGCUUAAUGGGUUAAAUGCAGUUUUUAUGUUUGCAUGUUUGUUUUGAAUUUCAUUUUAUUCCAGUAUCAUCAACUCUUUUUUUUUCCACUGUUGGGACAACAUAAACAAAACAUACAAAUGGGUGGGAUUUAAAACAAAAAACAAGAAAACCUGAGUUAAUUAAUAUUGGAUUUCUUUGUCGGGAUAUUCUUUGAAAAUUGUUUUUCUUUUAAGUUUCUGGUAUUGUAUAUUUCAUAUUUAAAUUAUUAAUGCUGUAGUUAUAUCACUGCUUGGGGAAUGAGUGAAAAGAUAUUACUCUGAAUAUAGAAAAGGACCUAUACAUAUGAUCAGACAAGCAGGAAAUGUCUAUUAAAAACAAAAACUUAAAAUUUAGUUAAAUGAAAACAAAAAUGUAUUUUUGUACCACACUCAAGGAAAAUUAAAAAUGCAAGAAAGCAGAAAAUAUGCAUAAAUGGCUAGUACAUCUAGAUAUGGUAUUAAAACAAAUCAUUUAAGGAUUAAAAUUAAUCUUCUUAAGUGGCAUUUUAAGAACACAGACAGUGCAUCUACAAGUGCAAUUUACUGUGGAGUAGAAUCAUUAGCUCCGCAGUAAAGUGUCAGCGUCUACAUGUGCAUCGCUAUUAAGGUGCAGUAAACUAAUUAACUCUCCCGUAAGAUAAGUACUGUCGGGUACAGUACUGUUUUAUGGCAGAGUAAUUAACUGCACUGGAAUGCACCUGUAGACUGACCAGGGGCAUAAGUUGAGCAUGGUCAGCCCAAUCAGCCAGGGGCCUAGUCUGCUCUGGCUCAAUAGCUGCUGUCUUGGGUUCACGUGUAGACACUGGGCCCAGGAGCAGUUUACUCCAACUUGAACUGCUCUGGAGUUUAUUGUUUGCAUUACUCGCAUGCGUAGAUGCACCCAGUAAUACUAAUUCUCAAUUUCUAAUUCUGCUAAUUAUUUACUUGUUGCCAUAGCCAAUUCAUAAUCUCAGUAUUUCAAUUUUUUCACCUGUAAAAUGGAAUAUUAUUUCUUACUUACCCGUAUCUCCCUCAUGGGACUGCUAGAAUUAGUUAAUAAUUUUAUAGUGCUUUGAAGAUGAAAAAUGUUUGGAAUUUUUUUUUUUACUAUAAAUCUCCACUAAAUAGGGUUCUAAACAGUAAAAACUUGUAACAGAUAAACAGAGACAAGCCUAGGCUGAAAGUUUAUGGCUACAGCUAUGAACUUUUCCAAAGUGGAGGGCCAUUCUGAACUAGGUUUUUGUUUAAGAACUGGGAUGUUUUUAUUACUAUGAUGUUAUUUUAAAAUACUAUUGCAAAUUCUUGUUUCUGUUUGUGAGACUCAUGCAUUAUUCAGAUACAUUUCAAAGAAUAUUUAUAAGUAACAUACCAAGAGCUAAUAGAGUCAACACUCUAAGUAAAAUUAAACUAAUUCUACUUUUCCCAACAUGUUCUUGAAUGUCUACACUGUAACUAAUUCUUAAAAACAAUGUCCUAUCAGAAAUAAAAGAUAGAAAAUUUGAACAUGAAAUAUUAAUAAAGAUUUCCUAUGAUUCUCAUUCUUUCCAUUUUUCUUUGAACUACGUUAACUUGUAAAUUAAAUUUUAAAAAGCCUGUAAAUGUAGUUGAAGAACACUGGCAUAAUUUUUUCCCUACUGAUAAUGUGCAACUGUCCCGACAGUUUAGAAGCAAAGAUGACAGAAAGAAGAAAGUCCUUGGGAAAGAAUAUAUUUUAAACACUUCGAGCAAAAGGUCUUCAGAUUUGUUCCAUGCACACGAACCUGGCCUUUUACUAAAUGAGCAAUUCUAGCCUUAAAUUCCUUAAUAAUACCAUAUUAAAAUAAAGCAAACAUUCUAAUUCAUUGAGGUAUGUAUCUAGAAAAAAGAAAAGAAAGGGCUGUUGGUUGACAAAAAGGAUUUUUGUUUGCAUGUUUUAAAAGUAAGGACUGCACCGGAAGAGUAGUUAAGAUGUAGUUAU